Molecule: ribosomal RNA, 250 nt
Filed under: uncultured prokaryote
Description: partial 16S ribosomal RNA
Rfam family: Bacterial small subunit ribosomal RNA
Source: RNAcentral
UACGUAGGCGGCAAGCGUUGUCCGGAAUCAUUGGGCGUAAAGGGGGCGCAGGCGGGGACGCAGGUCCUUCCUGAAAGUUCGGGGCUCAGCCCCGUGAUGGGAAGGAAACCGUGUCUCUUGAGCGCGGGAGAGGGAAGCGGAAUUCCUGGUGUAGCGGUGAAAUGCGUAGAUAUCAGGAAGAACACCAGUGGCGAAGGCGGCUUCCUGGACCGCGGCUGACGCUGAGGCCCGAAAGCCAGGGGAGCGAACG